AUGUCCCCCCUUAGUCGAGGCAAAUGGCGUUCUGCUGUUAUCUUGUUCCGCCCUGUAAUGAAGGUCCUCCAAUGGCAGGCCCCCUGUUGUGCGCGCUGUGAUCUCAUUUUCUCAGCAGAGGCGCGAGCUGCCAGCCUCCGUCUGAUCCAGCUGGCGGGAGAGGAAGGCAGGCGGAGGGGGGGGAGGCUGGACCGAGACAGGCCCGGCCGGCCCGCUGACCUCUGGGGGCCCGGUCUCCGCGGCUGGCAGGGGACCGGUGUGUUGACAGCAAAACAGGUCGGCCUGCAGAACGGAACAAGGACACACAUGCAUCAGGUAGCCCUGUACACCGAGCCUCUCUGGGAUUCCAACAGCACUGGCAUCAGGUGGCCCAGAAGCCUUAGUAAGUCCACCCUCCCUGACCAGAGUUGCAAGACAUGCAGCUGUAUUUUUUUGUAAUUGCUGUCAUCACCUUCCAUGUAUUGUGAACGGCCACUUUGCCCAGAGCAGCACCAACGGCUUCCUAUGUUCACAAGCCUUUGUCUGGGCUCGUCUGCUCUUGUGUGCACAUAUGUAUGCUGGUUUGUGGGGUUAUUUGGUUUAGAGGUCGAAAACAAUGCUGCUAAAUACUUAGGGUCCGUUCCUGAAACGGUGGUCAAAGAAUUUAUGCAUUUGGUUUCUUACUAUUAUCUUUUCUAUUGGGAAAUACUAGAGAAAAGUAUAGGAUGUUGAGUUCUGUGUUAGCAGGAACUAGCCACAGCAUUCGGAGCCUGCUUCACCGGGGUAAAACAGAGUGUUGCUGUCGGAUGCAAAGCAGUGCUCACUGGACACGUAAUAGGAUUGUCGGUUCUACAUUGUAUUUUCCUUUGGUCUUUUCCUCUAAAGUGAAUUAAGGCGUCUAUUUCAUCUCCUCACAGUGAAAUAAUGUAUCCAAAGGGUGCAUUCAAAGCCCAUUUAACCACUUGGUGCCGGAUUCAUAAUUGGAUUUUAACUUGAGGUCCCAUCUUAAAUCCAACCAUCACCAUCUACAAUAUUAGAUUUUUCAUUCAGGAAGCCUCUUUAAUUCUGCUCUGUUGAAAUGACAUGCUUUUUAAUCAGCCAAUGCACAAAAUAUCCGGCUGAACUGGUGUCAUUAAACAAACCAGCCUACACACACACAUGCACAUACACAUAGUGCGCUCUCACACACACACACGCACGCACACGCACACACACGCACUCGCGCGCACACACACGCAAACACACACAAUGCUAACGUAGCCUAUUAAAGAGAUGGAAGAUUAUGGCUUGAAUGAAGUCAUUAGUUACGCAAACCUAAUGAUCAUCUUAUUUGUAUGAAUAAAUCUGAUCCAUUUUGCUUGCUUCAGGCUAAAAUAAAGAAUAAUAAAAUAAUUAAAAGCCCUGGCCCUUUAUGCAUUGAUUUAUUUUCUGAAACGAUUCCGGACGCAUCAAAAAAACAAUAACAACAAAAAACAACAACUCCAGGGCCCCCUAUAAUGAGAGGGAGCAAGAGACACGCAGGGCUGCGAGCGAUUGCAUUCAUCCCCCC
Molecule: long non-coding RNA, 1528 nt
Filed under: Gadus morhua (Atlantic cod)
Lineage: Eukaryota; Metazoa; Chordata; Actinopteri; Gadiformes; Gadidae
Description: lncRNA (ENSGMOG00000033015.1)
Source: RNAcentral